RNAcentral lists this ribosomal RNA (376 nucleotides) under Marocolana delamarei. RNAcentral's name for it is "partial 16S ribosomal RNA". It matches the Rfam family "Bacterial large subunit ribosomal RNA", at positions 1925 to 2528 of the family's 2925-position model. The record is from RNAcentral. Lineage: Eukaryota; Metazoa; Arthropoda; Malacostraca; Isopoda; Cirolanidae.
AAAUAGCCGCGGUAUUUGGACCGUGCUAAGGUAGCAUAAUAAUUUUCUUUUUAAUUGGGAGAUAGGAUGAAAGAGUGAACAAGGAGGUUUUGUGCCAUUUUUAGUGAGAUAAUUUUAUUAAGGAGUAAGAAAGCUCCUAGGUUUUAGAAAGACGAUAAGACCCUAUAAAACUUAACUAAUGAAAGCUGUGGAGUGUUUAAGUUUUGAAGUUUAAGAUUAGUUUAGCUGGGGCGGCUUACUUUAGAAGACAAAGGGUUUGAUAACAUAUUUAAUGGGAUUAAUGAGCGCAAAUGUGCAAUUAAGAUUAAGUUACUUUAGGGAUAACAGAAGUAAUAUUUUUGGAGAGUUCCAAUCGAUAAAGAUGUUUGUUACCUCG